Molecule: small RNA, 146 nt
Filed under: Pongo abelii (Sumatran orangutan)
Lineage: Eukaryota; Metazoa; Chordata; Mammalia; Primates; Hominidae
Description: processed transcript
Source: RNAcentral
AUAACCCUCUGCUGCAGAAUACCCUGAUGCUACAGAAGUCUCUAGAGUCUGGAAAUCUUUACCAACAAAGAAAAAUUCUGAUGUAUUCUCUUUCAGUUGAACGUCCUCAGAUGACUUUCGGCAGGCUCCAGAGAAUCUUUCUGAAG